AGUGAACGCUGGCGGUAGACCUAACACAUGCAAGUCGAACGGCAGCACAGUAAGAGCUUGCUCUUACGGGUGGCGAGUGGCGGACGGGUGAGGAAUACAUCGGAAUCUACUUUUUCGUGGGGGAUAACGUAGGGAAACUUACGCUAAUACCGCAUACGACCUACGGGUGAAAGCAUGGGAUCUUCGGACCUUGCGCGAUUGAAUGAGCCGAUGUCGGAUUAGCUAGUUGGCGGGGUAAAGGCCCACCAAGGCGACGAUCCGUAGCUGGUGUGAGAGGAUGAUCGGCCACACUGGAACUGAGACACGGUCCAGACUCCUACGGGAGGCAGCAGUGGGGAAUAUUGGACAAUGGGCGCAAGCCUGAUCCAGCCAUACCGCGUGGGUGGAGAAGGCCUUCGGGUUGUAAAGCCCUUUUGUUGGGAAAGAAAAGCAGCAGGUUAAUACCCCGCUGUUCUGACGGUACCCAAAGAAUAAGCACCGGCUAACUUCGUG
RNAcentral lists this ribosomal RNA (492 nucleotides) under uncultured bacterium. RNAcentral's name for it is "partial 16S ribosomal RNA". It matches the Rfam family "Bacterial small subunit ribosomal RNA", at positions 29 to 507 of the family's 1533-position model. The record is from RNAcentral.